This 465-nucleotide ribosomal RNA is filed under the name uncultured bacterium. Its description in RNAcentral is "partial 16S ribosomal RNA". It matches the Rfam family "Bacterial small subunit ribosomal RNA", at positions 28 to 507 of the family's 1533-position model. The record is from RNAcentral.
GAUGAACGCUGGCGGCGUGCUUAACACAUGCAAGUCGAACGAUGAAGCCCAGCUUGCUGGGUGGAUUAGUGGCGAACGGGUGAGUAACACGUGAGUAACUGCCCUUAACUCUGGGAUAAGCCUGGGAAACUGGGUCUAAUACCGGAUAGGAGCGUCCACCGCAUGGUGGGUGUUGGAAAGAUUUAUCGGUUUUGGAUGGACUCGCGGCCUAUCAGCUUGUUGGUGAGGUAAUGGCUCACCAAGGCGACGACGGGUAGCCGGCCUGAGAGGGUGACCGGCCACACUGGGACUGAGACACGGCCCAGACUCCUACGGGAGGCAGCAGUGGGGAAUAUUGCACAAUGGGCGCAAGCCUGAUGCAGCGACGCCGCGUGAGGGAUGACGGCCUUCGGGUUGUAAACCUCUUUCAGUAGGGAAGAAGCGAAAGUGACGGUACCUGCAGAAGAAGCACCGGCUAACUACGUG